AACAAAAACAUGUCCUUUUGAGUUUUAUUUAAGGUCUAACCUGCCCAAUGAGAAAUUUAAAUGGCCGCAGUAUUUUGACUGUGCAAAGGUAGCAUAAUCAUUAGUUUUUUAAUUGAAAGCUUGUAUGAAGGGUUGGACGAGAUAAAGACUGUCUUAAGUUAAUUUAUUUUAGAAUUUAAUUUUUAAGUUAAAAAGCUUAAAUGAAAUUAAAAGACGAGAAGACCCUAUAGAUCUUAAUAAUUUUUAUUUUAAUUAAAUUUUAGAAUUAAUUAUUAUUUAUAAUAAAAAUUAUUAUAUUGGGGUAAUAUAAAGAUUAAAAUAAUUCUUUAUUUAUAUAUACAUUAGUUUAUGAAUAUUUGAUCCAAUAUUAUUGAUUAUAAGAUUAAGUUACCUUAGGGAUAACAGCGUAAUUUUUUUAGAGAGUUCAUAUCGAUAAAAAAGUUUGCGACCUCGAUGUUG
RNAcentral lists this ribosomal RNA (459 nucleotides) under Cybister owas. Its description in RNAcentral is "partial 16S ribosomal RNA". The record is from RNAcentral. Lineage: Eukaryota; Metazoa; Arthropoda; Insecta; Coleoptera; Dytiscidae.